CUUGGGACGGGGGGAGAAGUCCCUCAGCCUGGAUUGCAAGAGGGUGCAGGCCAGGCCGAGGGACCCCACUGGUACACA
Molecule: non-coding RNA, 78 nt
Organism: Myotis davidii
Lineage: Eukaryota; Metazoa; Chordata; Mammalia; Chiroptera; Vespertilionidae
Source: Rfam